RNAcentral lists this ribosomal RNA (253 nucleotides) under uncultured bacterium. RNAcentral's name for it is "partial 16S ribosomal RNA". It matches the Rfam family "Bacterial small subunit ribosomal RNA", at positions 524 to 776 of the family's 1533-position model. The record is from RNAcentral.
UACGUAGGGGGCAAGCGUUGUCCGGAAUCAUUGGGCGUAAAGCGCGUGUAGGCGGUUCAGUAAGUCUGCUGUGAAAGUCCAGGGCUCAACCCUGGGAUGCCGGUGGAUACUGCUGGGCUAGAGUACGGAAGGGGCGAGUGGAAUUCCCGGUGUAGCGGUGAAAUGCGCAGAUAUCGGGAGGAACACCAAUUGCGAAGGCAGCUCGCUGGGACGUUACUGACGCUGAGACGCGAAAGCGUGGGGAGCAAACAGG